This 1260-nucleotide ribosomal RNA is filed under the name Aphidius colemani. RNAcentral describes it as "16S ribosomal RNA". The record is from RNAcentral. Lineage: Eukaryota; Metazoa; Arthropoda; Insecta; Hymenoptera; Braconidae.
UCAAAUAAUUAUUAAUUUUCCUAAAAAAAAUUUUUUUAAUUUUUUCAAGUUAUUAAAAUAAAACAAAAUAAUAUUAUUUAAAAUAAAAAUAUUUAAAUAAAAUAUUUUAAAAUUAAAUUAAAUAUUUUUACCUUUUGUAUCAGGGAUAAUUAAAAUUAAAUUAUAUUAAUUAAAUCUCGAAAAAAAAAAAAUUAAAUAUAAAAUAUUUUAUUAUAAAAUUAAUAUUAAUAAUUUAUAUUUAGAAACAAUAUAUUAACCGAUUUUUUUGAUAUCUAGUUAUUUAAUAAAUUAAUUUAAUUAAGUAAUAAAAUAAAAUAUUUUAAAAUAAUAUACUAAAAUUUUUUUAUUAUAAAAAUUAAAGGGAUAAACUUUUAAUUUUAAAUUAAAAUUUGUAAUUAUACAAUUUAAUACCAUAAAUAUAAUAAUAAUUAAUGUUAAAAAAUAUAUAAUAAUUUAAUUAAAUUUAAUCAAUAUUUAUAAAUAAUUUAAAAUUUUAUUAAAUUUUAUUAAAUAAUUUAAAUUUAAUAAUAAUAAUGAUUAUAUUAGUAAAUACAAAAAUAAAAAAAUAAAAAAUUGUAAAAAAAAUUUUAUUAAUGAAUUAAGCAAAUAAUAUAUUCACCUGUUUAACAAAAACAUGUCUUAUUGAAAAUAAUUUUAAGUCUAAUCUGCCCAAUGAUAAUUUAAUGGCUGCAGUAUCAAUAACUGUACAAAGGUAGCAUAAUAAUUAGUUUUUUAAUUGAAAACUAGAAUGAAAGAUUAAAUGAAAUAUAAACUUUAUAAAUAAAAUAAAAAUUUAAAUUAAAUUUUAAGUUAAAAUUCUUAAAUAAUAUUAAAAGACGAGAAGACCCUUUAGAAUUUUAUAUUAAAAAUAAUUAAAUUUAUAAUAAUUCAUAUAUAAAUUACUUUUAAUAUUUAAUUGGGGUAAUUUUAUAAUUUAAUAAACUUUUAAAUAAAUAAUACAUAAAUUAAUGAAAAUAUAAACCUAAUUUUUAGAAUAUUAAAAUAAAUUACCUUAGGGAUAACAGCGUAAUUUUUUUUGAAAGUUCACAUUUAUAAAAAAGAUUGCGACCUCGAUGUUGAAUUAAGAUUAAAUUAAAAGCAAAAAUUUAAUAAUUUAAGUCUGUUCGACUUUUAAAAUCUUACAUGAUUUGAGUUAAGAUCGGUGUAAGCCAGAUCGGAUUCUAUCUUUAAAUAAAAUUAAUAUAAUUGUACGAAAGGAAUUUAUAAUAUAAAUAAUUUAUUAAAUAUUUUAAUAAAAUA